CUUGAAGAGGUGGAGGCAAUUGAACUUGUGGGGGGCAGAAUGUUAUGAAACAGAGUCCUUCUAUAAAUAGUAUUCUAUUGAGACGAGGAUUGUUUUAAAUAAAUGAUUUUGAAAAACUUUAAAGUCAUUUAAACUAUAUGAUAAGGACAAGAAACUUAAAUUGGCUUACCUAGGGCCUGGUUAGAUUGGCCCGUAGACUUGAAGAAGCAAAAAUUGAGA
This 219-nucleotide long non-coding RNA is filed under the name Elaeis guineensis (African oil palm). RNAcentral's name for it is "long non-coding RNA (EGUI_LNC018056)". The record is from RNAcentral. Lineage: Eukaryota; Viridiplantae; Streptophyta; Magnoliopsida; Arecales; Arecaceae.